AUUCNGGUUGAUCCUGCCGGAGGCCACUGCUAUGGGGGUCNGACUAAGCCAUGCGAGUCAAGGGGGCGUCCCUUCUGGGACGCCACCGGCGGACGGCUCAGUAACACGUCGGUAACCUACCCUCGGGAGGGGGAUAACCCCGGGAAACUGGGGCUAAUCCCCCAUAGGCCUGGGGUACUGGAAGGUCCCCAGGCCGAAAGGGAGCCGUAAGGCUCCGCCCGAGGAUGGGCCGGCGGCCGAUUAGGUAGUUGGUGGGGUAACGGCCCACCAAGCNGAAGAUCGGUACGGGCNGUGAGAGCGGGAGCCNGGAGAUGGACACUGAGACACGGGUCCAGGCCCUACGGGGCGCAGCAGGCGCGAAACCUCNGCAAUGCGGGAAACNGCGACGGGGGGACCCCCAGUGCCGUGCCUCUGGCACGGCUUUUCCGGAGUGUAAAAAGCUCCGGGAAUAAGGGCUGGGCAAGGCNGGUGGCAGCCGCCGCGGUAAUACCGGCGGCCNGAGUGGUGGCCACUAUUAUUGGGCCUAAAGCGGCNGUAGCCGGGCCCGUAAGUCCCUGGCGAAAUCCCACGGCUCAACNGUGGGGCUCGCUGGGGAUACUGCGGGCCUUGGGACNGGGAGAGGCNGGGGGUACCCCNGGGGUAGGGGUGAAAUCCUAUAAUCCCGGGGGGACCGCCAGUGGCGAAGGCGCCNGGCUGGAACGGGUCNGACGGUGAGGGCNGAAGGCCAGGGGAGCGAACNGGAUUAGAUACCCGGGUAGUCCUGGCUGUAAAGGAUGCGGGCUAGGUGUCGGGCGAGCUUCGAGCUCGCCCGGUGCNGUAGGGAAGCNGUUAAGCCNGCNGCCUGGGGAGUACGGCNGCAAGGCUGAAACUUAAAGGAAUUGGCGGGGGAGCCUGCUCCUUGCACACACCGCCCGUCACUCCACCCGAGCGGGGCCUAGGUGAGGCCCGAUCUCCUUCGGGAGGUCGGGUCGAGCCUAGGCUCCGUGAGGGGGGAGAAGUCGUAACAAGGUAGCNGUAGGGGAACCUACGGCUCGAUCACCUCCU
Molecule: ribosomal RNA, 1044 nt
Filed under: Pyrococcus abyssi GE5
Lineage: Archaea; Methanobacteriati; Methanobacteriota; Thermococci; Thermococcales; Thermococcaceae
Description: 16S ribosomal RNA from Pyrococcus abyssi GE5 (PDB 6SWD, chain 2)
Rfam family: Archaeal small subunit ribosomal RNA
Source: RNAcentral